GACGAACGCUGGCGGCGUGCCUAAUACAUGCAAGUUGAGCGCUGAAGGUUGGUACUUGUACCAACUGGAUGAGCAGCGAACGGGUGAGUAACGCGUGGGGAAUCUGCCUUUGAGCGGGGGACAACAUUUGGAAACGAAUGCUAAUACCGCAUAAAAACUUUAAACACAAGCUUUAAGUUUGAAAGAUGCAAUUGCAUCACUCAAAGAUGAUCCCGCGUUGUAUUAGCUAGUUGGUGAGGUAAAGGCUCACCAAGGCGAUGAUACAUAGCCGACCUGAGAGGGUGAUCGGCCACAUUGGGACUGAGACACGGCCCAAACUCCUACGGGAGGCAGCAGUAGGGAAUCUUCGGCAAUGGACGAAAGUCUGACCGAGCAACGCCGCGUGAGUGAAGAAGGUUUUCGGAUCGUAAAACUCUGUUGGUAGAGAAGAACGUUGGUGAGAGUGGAAAGCUCAUCAAGUGACGGUAACUACCCAGAAGGGGACGGCUAACUACGUG
This 497-nucleotide ribosomal RNA is filed under the name uncultured bacterium. RNAcentral's name for it is "partial 16S ribosomal RNA". It matches the Rfam family "Bacterial small subunit ribosomal RNA", at positions 28 to 507 of the family's 1533-position model. The record is from RNAcentral.